UGGUGCUUCUGUGUAGAUCGCUGACCGGGAGAACUUGGAGUGGCAAAGGUUCCCCAAAGCUACAGAGAACCCUGGGAAGGACCACAUGAACACAAAGUGCCUGACGUGAUACUGCUGACCGUUGUUCUCUUUCCCAGGGUGGUGGUUGUUUCGUCUGCAGUUUCAGAUCUGCUAAUGACCCACGAUGCUCCAUUCGCCAGACUGGAGGACCUGGAAGCCCAGGGGUGAGAUCCGUGUUUCAGUCUUUUUUUGAGGAGAAAUUAAAGUUUUAUCUUGUAUAAAUUUGGUGUUAGCACCUUUUCCAAA
Nannospalax galili (Upper Galilee mountains blind mole rat) is the source of this 306-nucleotide long non-coding RNA. RefSeq lists it as uncharacterized. The record is from RefSeq and is a predicted model, not a curated record. The transcript is spliced from 2 exons. NCBI's taxonomy places the organism in Eukaryota, Metazoa, Chordata, Mammalia, Rodentia, Spalacidae.